GAUGAACGCUGGCGGCGUGCCUAAUACAUGCAAGUCGAGCGAACAGAUGAGGAGCUUGCUCCUCUGACGUUAGCGGCGGACGGGUGAGUAACACGUGGAUAACCUACCUAUAAGACUGGGAUAACUUCGGGAAACCGGAGCUAAUACCGGAUAAUAUAUCGAACCGCAUGGUUCAAUAGUGAAAGACGGUUUUGCUGUCACUUAUAGAUGGAUCCGCGCCGCAUUAGCUAGUUGGUAAGGUAACGGCUUACCAAGGCAACGAUGCGUAGCCGACCUGAGAGGGUGAUCGGCCACACUGGAACUGAGACACGGUCCAGACUCCUACGGGAGGCAGCAGUAGGGAAUCUUCCGCAAUGGGCGAAAGCCUGACGGAGCAACGCCGCGUGAGUGAUGAAGGUCCUCGGAUCGUAAAACUCUGUUAUUAGGGAAGAACAAAUGUGUAAGUAACUAUGCACGUCUUGACGGUACCUAAUCAGAAAGCCACGGCUAACUACGUG
Molecule: ribosomal RNA, 497 nt
Filed under: uncultured bacterium
Lineage: Bacteria
Description: partial 16S ribosomal RNA
Rfam family: Bacterial small subunit ribosomal RNA
Source: RNAcentral